CGACGCCUUGCGGGAGAGCCGGAUCAGCCGGCACCGACGGAGCAAGCCUCCCCGCCAAUCUCUCAGGUCACUACACCGCAAGAACGAG
RNAcentral lists this non-coding RNA (88 nucleotides) under Leifsonia sp. Root60. RNAcentral's name for it is "Glycine riboswitch aptamer". It matches the Rfam family "Glycine riboswitch aptamer". From Rfam's summary of the family: This family represents the bacterial glycine riboswitch. Glycine riboswitches usually consist of two metabolite-binding aptamers domains with similar structures in tandem. RNAcentral also lists the same sequence under 1 other name. Lineage: Bacteria; Bacillati; Actinomycetota; Actinomycetes; Micrococcales; Microbacteriaceae. The record is from Rfam by way of RNAcentral.